This 495-nucleotide ribosomal RNA is filed under the name uncultured bacterium. RNAcentral describes it as "partial 16S ribosomal RNA". It matches the Rfam family "Bacterial small subunit ribosomal RNA", at positions 28 to 506 of the family's 1533-position model. The record is from RNAcentral.
GAUGAACGCUGGCGGCGUGCCUAAUACAUGCAAGUCGAGCGAACAGACGAGGAGCUUGCUCCUCUGACGUUAGCGGCGGACGGGUGAGUAACACGUGGAUAACCUACCUAUAAGACUGGGAUAACUUCGGGAAACCGGAGCUAAUACCGGAUAAUAUAUUGAACCGCAUGGUUCAAUAGUGAAAGACGGUUUUGCUGUCACUUAUAGAUGGAUCCGCGCCGCAUAGCUAGUUGGUAAGGUAACGGCUUACCAAGGCAACGAUGCGUAGCCGACCUGAGAGGGUGAUCGGCCACACUGGAACUGAGACACGGUCCAGACUCCUACGGGAGGCAGCAGUAGGGAAUCUGCCGCAAUGGGCGAAAGCCUGACGGAGCAACGCCGCGUGAGUGAUGAAGGUCUUCGGAUCGUAAAACUCUGUUAUUAGGGAAGAACAAAUGUGUAAGUAACUAUGCACGUCUUGACGGUACCUAAUCAGAAAGCCACGGCUAACUACGU